GCGGCUCUAAUAAAUAAAAUAAUACCAUUUCGAAUAAUGUCACUUUAAUUGGAAAAACUCUCAUAUUCCUUCGGGUGUGGGAAAAUGAGGUGUGACAGCGAUGGCGACUCUGCUGGGGACAAUAACCCAGAACUUCUAGUUCAGGGUUUAGAAUUCGAGCUUCAAAUGUGAUCUAUACUUGGCUUUAUUAAUUUGAUGUUAUUAUGUAUUUUUG
Molecule: long non-coding RNA, 214 nt
Filed under: Nicotiana benthamiana
Lineage: Eukaryota; Viridiplantae; Streptophyta; Magnoliopsida; Solanales; Solanaceae
Description: long non-coding RNA (NBEN_LNC006426)
Source: RNAcentral